Ribosomal RNA from Pteropus vampyrus (large flying fox), 119 nucleotides. NCBI's taxonomy places the organism in Eukaryota, Metazoa, Chordata, Mammalia, Chiroptera, Pteropodidae. The record is from Ensembl.
GUCUACGACCAUCCUACUUUGAACAAGCCCUAUCCAGUCUGACCUCGAAAGCUAAGCAGGGUCGCGCCUGGUUAGUACUUGGAUAGGAGACCAUCUAGGAAGACCAGGUGCUGUAGGCG